RNAcentral lists this ribosomal RNA (420 nucleotides) under uncultured Glomeromycotina. RNAcentral's name for it is "SSU rRNA". It matches the Rfam family "Eukaryotic small subunit ribosomal RNA", at positions 674 to 1092 of the family's 1831-position model. Lineage: Eukaryota; Fungi; Glomeromycota. The record is from RNAcentral.
UAUGUACUGGCUUUACUGAUUCCUCCUUCUUGAAGAACUGUAAUGUCAUUAAUUUGGUGUUGCAGGGAAACAGGACUGUUACUUUGAAAAAAUUAGAGUGUUUAAAGCAAGCUAACGCUUGAAUACAUUAGCAUGGAAUAAUGAAAUAGGACGUUCGAUCCUAUUUUGUUGGUUUCUAGGAUUGACGUAAUGAUUAAUAGGGAUAGUUGGGGGCAUUAGUAUUCAAUUGUCAGAGGUGAAAUUCUUGGAUUUAUUGAAGACUGACUACUGCGAAAGCAUUUGCCAAGGAUGUUUUCAUUAAUCAAGAACGAAAGUUAGGGGACCGAAGACGAUCAGAUACCGUCGUAGUCUUAACCAUAAACUAUGCCGACUAGGGAUCGGAUGAUGUUAAUUUUUUAAUGACUCAUUCGGCGCCUUACG